This is a long non-coding RNA of Cannabis sativa, 1810 nucleotides long. RefSeq lists it as uncharacterized. The transcript is spliced from 3 exons. The record is from RefSeq and is a predicted model, not a curated record. NCBI's taxonomy places the organism in Eukaryota, Viridiplantae, Streptophyta, Magnoliopsida, Rosales, Cannabaceae.
UCACCUUUAUUCUCUUUCUCUAUUUUCUCUUCGAAUUCAUCCAUGGAAUUUUGGUUUUCUGUGCUUUAAUUCAUAAAAAUCAAUUCUUUACCUACAUAUGGAAUCGUGUAUGAUAAGAACUCACUAUUAGGAACACUACUAUAUAGAUACAAACAAUAUUUGUGAAUAACAGUAUACAACGAGAAUCGAAUAUGCAAAAUUAGAUAUCCUUUUAGGAUAGGGGUUAAUUUUAUACCACUAUUCAUUUCAAGCUGCAUGGAGCCGAUUUCAGUCACCAAGAGACUGCAACUUCUGCCUUGCAAUCAAUUCUUCAGGAGGAUUUUAAGGCUACCGAGAUUGAGGUAGUAAUGUUUAUUUUGCUAAAUAUUUCAUUGUUUCAUUAUGACAGAUUGGCAACUUGAAAUGCGUUAUGAUGUAUUACAACACAGUUAAGUUGAAACUAAAUAUUUUUUGCAACUUUUGAUAUUCAAUGUUUUUUCAUUUGGAUUUCCAUUUAGAAUUUAUAUUGGUUUGAUAUGGUAAUGUUAAACUUGGAAGUCUCGUAUCUAAUUGAUUCUAUUUUGUAUAAGCUUGAUAUGAAGGCAAUAUAGUCUAAAUUUCUAUUUAUUUAUUACUUGAACUAGAUGAGUUAUAUCUAAGAAUCACCCUUUACCAAGUUGGUAAUGGCACCUAAAAUAACUUUUAAGUGAUAGCUCAAACAAGGAUGCUUUUGACAAUUUACUAAUUGUCUAAAAAUAUUUUUCAGCCAUAUUUAAUGAAAAAAGAAAAAGAAAAAAAAUAUUUAUUCAAUUGAGUUUAUUUAAGUGUGUUUUAGGUGAAAGUUUAUUUGAGAUUGCUGAUUGUUUAGGAAGCCUUGAACAACAUAAUCUUUGUACAUAUAUCAAUAGAGAUUAUACUGAGAUUUUUUUUCUUCGUAAAAUGAGUUAAUCAAAGUCCAAGGCUUUGUUUAGAUUUAUGGUUGAAUGUUAUAGUAGUAGUUUUCGACUUGUAGUCUAGUAUUUUGUUUAAUAGAGUGGUAGUAGCAAAAGUAGAAGCAUAAAAAAGAGGCUGAACUUGCAUGAGACAAGUUGUUUCUUCCAUGUCUCUUAAAAAUAAUAAUAAAAAAAAUCCCAAAUUAACAGCCCUUUCGCUUCUUCUUUACUUGUAUAUAAUUUAUUUUUCUUAUAGAAUGCAUUGGGUGUGUGCUAUAUUGGUACCUGAGACAUACCACGUAUAUUACUUGGACCCCGUUAAUGCACCCAUAACAAAUUAUCCUGUAAUUCUGAAAACGAUCAAGGAAGCAUAUGGCACAGACUGAGAAGGAGCAUGGAGAUCCCAAAAAAUUUAAGUAUCAAAGAGCACCUAGUAAGUAUAUAUAAAUUUUAAUGAUAAUUUAAGGUUUUAAUAAAUUAUUAAUGUAAAUAUUUAAAUUACAAAUUAUUGUAGUGUCCUCACCAACUAACUAAGUAAUGUAGAGUGUGGCUACUAUGCUAUGAGAAUGAUGAAAGAUCUAGUUAAGUCGCCUAAUCAAUGUGACUAUAUAAAAAAAGAGCUAAUAGACAAAAAGUCAUAUUCAAAAGCUAUGAUGGACGAGAUGAGGAAAGAGUGGACGACACAUUUGCUUCAACACUUACAGAAUCAUUACAUUAUGGGUCAUUAGUUAAGCAUUUUUUUUUUAAAAAAUAUUAUUUAGGACAAAUAUUUAGCUAAUAAUAUCAGUUAAAUAUAUAUUUUUUUUCUUUAAUACAAUAUUUGUUAAUUUCGUUAUGUAUAUAUAUUUAACAAAUAUUAUAAAUUUUGAGAUAUUUAUAAUAGUUUAAAAUUUGUAUUC